Long non-coding RNA from Pyrus x bretschneideri (Chinese white pear), 545 nucleotides. RefSeq lists it as uncharacterized. NCBI's taxonomy places the organism in Eukaryota, Viridiplantae, Streptophyta, Magnoliopsida, Rosales, Rosaceae. The transcript has 2 exons. The record is from RefSeq and is a predicted model, not a curated record.
AUCUUCUUGUACAGUCGUGCUUAGAAAAACCAAAUUGAAUGGUUAUAUCUCUGACAUUUGUCUUUCGAUUUAUUUAAGGGUCCUUUUAUCAAUGGGAAAGAGGUUUCUGCUGCUGAUUUGUCGCUUGGACCCAAGUUGUAUCAUCUAGAGAUUGCUCUGGAGCAUUUCAAAGAUUGGUCAAUUCCUGAUUCCCUUCCAUAUGUGAAAUCUUACAUGAAGAGUAUAUUCUCACUGGAUUCAUUCGUUAAAACUAGUGCCCUGAAAGAAGAUGUCAUUGCGGGUUGGCGUCCAAAAGUCUUGGGUUAAAAUGUCUUGCUGCUGUUCUCUCUUGGUAUAUACCUGUACCGUACCUUAAUCAAGUCAAUCAUUUCUGUAUCAUCGACUUAGUGUAUUGAAAGUCACAUUGUCAGAUGAGAGAGUACACCGAGUUCAUAGACUCUGGCGGGAAAAGGAAAAACAAGGACGUUGAUCAGGUUUAGAGUUUGGAGUGUCUUGUGUGUAUUGUGAAUUAGAAACUCCUCAGUUAAGGAUAUGUGUUGAGUUAC